Molecule: long non-coding RNA, 299 nt
Organism: Gymnodraco acuticeps
Lineage: Eukaryota; Metazoa; Chordata; Actinopteri; Perciformes; Bathydraconidae
Exons: 2
Source: RefSeq, a predicted model, not a curated record
CAGCGAGGGCGUCAUUCCUGAGGAGGAAGAAGCAGUUUCUCCUGCACUGAGCGGUGAGUCCAAGAUGAGUGACCGCUCCAAGGAUUAACCUACAGCUUUCCAACGAGAUCCAGGGAUAAAUGCAGGACCCUGGACAGACUUGGACAGACCUGGACUCCAUUGUCUCGGUUAUUUUUAUUAUUACGACAUUAUCACAGCAUCAGAGCUGGUGAUGGAGAUUUUCUUCCAGUAGUUUUUUACUUGUAUUUUUUAAGAUUUCUCUUUGCAAAAUACAAAUAAAGAUUAUUUCAACCAAUUAC